Molecule: ribosomal RNA, 254 nt
Filed under: uncultured bacterium
Lineage: Bacteria
Description: partial 16S ribosomal RNA
Rfam family: Bacterial small subunit ribosomal RNA
Source: RNAcentral
UACGUAGGGUGCGAGCGUUGUCCGGAAUUAUUGGGCGUAAAGAGCUCGUAGGCGGUGUGUCACGUCGGCCGUGAAAACCUGCAGCUUAACUGUGGGCGUGCGGUCGAUACGGGCAUCACUGGAGUUCGGCAGGGGAGACUGGAAUUCCUGGUGUAGCGGUGAAAUGCGCAGAUAUCAGGAGGAACACCGGUGGCGAAGGCGGGUCCCUGGACAGAUCCUGACGCUGAGGCACGAAAGCUAGGGGAGCAAACAGG